This 126-nucleotide microRNA precursor is filed under the name Myotis lucifugus (little brown bat). RNAcentral's name for it is "mir-9193 microRNA precursor family". It matches the Rfam family "mir-9193 microRNA precursor family". The record is from Rfam by way of RNAcentral. Lineage: Eukaryota; Metazoa; Chordata; Mammalia; Chiroptera; Vespertilionidae.
CGUGGACCAGUGGGGUCCCUCGGCCUGGCCUGUGCCCUCUCGCAAUCUGGGAUGCCUCGGGGGAUGUCAGAGAGCUGGUUUUGGCCCGAUCCCGCAGGCCAGGCCGAGGGACCCUACUGGUGCACA